GGCUUAGUUGUUGUUGUUGUUAUUUGUUAUUGUAAGCUAAGCAGUCACUGCAAUACCGGCAAGAGCUUAAGUUGCAUAAGUGACGAGCAGUUUUUAAAUUGACCUAGAGGUCUUGCAGAUUGGACGAGUGUUAGGUGAUGAGAAGAGAUGACUAGAGUCAUUUGGAUUAUUAUGAUAAUGCCAUUCAAGCAUGUUUCUCACAUUGAAAAUCACCUCUGAUUUCUAUUCAUUUUAUUAACAUCUAUUUAAAAUAAACUAUAUAAAUAUAUGAAACAAAACAUUAUUACCUGUUGGAAUUCAUGUAUUUAAAAGAGAUUUAUGAUGUCUGCUUUAUUUUGGCAAUUCUAACUGGCUAGCUAUGUUGAUGAACAAGCAGGAUGUGAAAGCUAAUGCACUGAUUUGCAUGUGCAAGUGUGAUAUCGAACUGCUAGAUUUGAUUACUUUGGCAGAAUGC
RNAcentral lists this unclassified non-coding RNA (454 nucleotides) under Hevea brasiliensis (rubber tree). Lineage: Eukaryota; Viridiplantae; Streptophyta; Magnoliopsida; Malpighiales; Euphorbiaceae. The record is from RNAcentral.